GACGAACGCUGGCGGCGUGCCUAAUACAUGCAAGUUGAGCGAGACUCUUCGGAGUCUAGCGGCGGACGGGUGAGUAACACGUGGGCAACCUGCCUGUAAGACUGGGAUAACACCGGGAAACCGGUGCUAAUACCGGAUAAUCCUUUUCCUCUCAUGAGGAAAAACUGAAAGUCGGUUUCGGCUGACACUUACAGAUGGGCCCGCGGCGCAUUAGCUAGUUGGUGAGGUAACGGCUCACCAAGGCGACGAUGCGUAGCCGACCUGAGAGGGUGAUCGGCCACACGGGGACUGAGACAAGGCCCAGACUCCUACGGGAGGCAGCAGUAGGGAAUCUUCCACAAUGGACGAAAGUCUGAUGAAGCAACGCCGCGUGAGCGAUGAAGGCCUUCGGGUCGUAAAGCUCUGUUGUUAGGGAAGAACAAGUACCGGAGUAACUGCCGGUACCUUGACGGUACCUAACCAGAAAGCCACGGCUAACUACGUGCCAGCCGCCGCAGUAA
Molecule: ribosomal RNA, 500 nt
Filed under: uncultured bacterium
Lineage: Bacteria
Description: partial 16S ribosomal RNA
Rfam family: Bacterial small subunit ribosomal RNA
Source: RNAcentral